RNAcentral lists this long non-coding RNA (17951 nucleotides) under Capsella rubella. RNAcentral describes it as "long non-coding RNA (CRUB_LNC001995)". Lineage: Eukaryota; Viridiplantae; Streptophyta; Magnoliopsida; Brassicales; Brassicaceae. The record is from RNAcentral.
CCAAUGGUAUUUUAAUCUUUCCGACUAUGGAAGACGAUGGCUUUGUUUUUUUUUUUUUUUUUGCUUUUUCUUUUUUUUAAUGUAUCAAGUCAGUGUGUACAAUGGCCAAAUGAAUGUAGACACACUAUACAGAACAGAAACAUAUAUAAAAUAGCUUAUUGGAAUUGAGCACAUGCACAAACUUUUUUCUAUAUUAGAGUAAAAACGUAUACAUAUUUCAUAUGUAGGCCAGCUUUGAGAUUUUUGUAUGUAUCUUAGUAAUCUGAAUUUUAUUUGUUAAGGUAUAAGAAAAGUAAAAGCAAAAAGAAAAAAGUCUUCUAUAUCUGGUAGUAUUUGAUUAUGUUUGAAUAUUUGACUGUUAUAGUAACAUUUGUUAUAUAAAAUAACAAACAAAAAAAUAGAGAGAGAGGAGAAUUUCAGAACGGAAGAACAUAUUUCAUAUGUCGAGGAAGAGGGUCUCGAUCUCACUUAAUAUAUUCAGGCUGACCUAAUCAAAUUUUAGAAACCCUAAAAGAAACAUAAACAUAAACAUAAUAAGAGUGUGAAUGUUUUGUUUCUUGUUACUCAAGUAAAUUAUAGAUCGCAAGGUUAUUACAUUAUUAUAGUUAGUAGCAUUAUUAAUUAGAAUAUGAACAUAGGAGCGGUCGGCCCUGAGAUUUUAACGUACGGGUCUCGAACCUUAAAGAAUCACUUUGUGGUCUGUUUCGAUCGUCAAUAUUUAAGUUAGAAAGGUUAAACUAAACCAAUGCAGCGUCUACCAAAUCUUAAGAUUAAGCACUCUCUGAAACAAUGAAACUACCGUAUACAUUAUUAACAUCAUCAUUCUUUUCUGUUUUCUAAAAAUCUAAUUAAUCAUAAGCUUCUGACUAUUAUAUAAUCCAGAGCAGCCCACUACGAGACCCAUACAAUUUUUUUUCUUUUCUUUUGUAUCACUCCCACAAAACAUUUUUCAAACAUUGAUGUUUGGAUUUUCAAACAUAUUACCCUAAUAUAUCUUUAGGAAAAAAUUAACAACUCCUUAGUUGUGUGGGAAAAAUUACCACUUGUAUUUAUUUAUUUUUUUGUACAAAAAUUAUUCACCAAUCGUAUUAUUUUCUUUAUGCAUAUAUAACCAAAAAAAAAAAAAAAAGUGAGGCCCAUUUAAAGAAGGGGCCAUUAAAAUGUUUCAAAGCAAUAUAUAAAAGAAGAAACAAAACAAAAAGAUACUGCUAUGUGAUUUCCUAUACUAUUCGUGUUAUUUGAUUGUGGUGGAUUCUUAUUAACCCAUAUGUACAUCUUAAUCUCUCAGCUUCGGACUGUUGGAAUUCAGAUCGGCCCAGUAUAAUAUAGAACAGUGUGUUCUCAAAAUUUAUUGUUUGAUUAUUGUAUGGCCCGUUUUUUCCCCUUAUUGGGCCACAAAUAACUGCCUUUUAAUCAAACUACCAUUUUCUGUUUAACUCGUUUUUAAAAGUUUUUUUUUUUUUUCUUAGCUUACGUGUAUUUUUUGGGGCUAGUAAUCAAAAUCAGUAAUACAAAACCCUGAUAUCAAAUAAACAGCUGAAAUUGUAUUGUAAUAAUAAACUCAACUAUUACGGUCAGAUUUUUCUUUUCUUUUCCUUCUUAAUAACACAUGCAAAUUUCAUAUUACAUUUCAUUUUUUUUAGGAUAAAGUUUUGUUUAGUAUAUAUAUAUAUAUUGAAAAAGCAAAGCAAAUUGAACCGACAAAUAGAUGCACACAACUGACAAAUUUGUUGGUAGAGAGGUAUGGAAGGAUCAGCAGCAAAAAGGGACUUUUAAAAAAUGUGAACUUUGACUGUGUGAAAAUGUGAGUGAGAGUCUCCCCCUAAAACCUCCCCCAACUUCUCCACCGUCAUCGUCAAGCUUACGCCAAGUCGCCCAACCGUAUUUAUUUAUUGUCACACAGCAUAAACUACCAUUUUUAUAUAUGAAACCACACACAUAAAGCAUAAAACUAUUUUUUUCAAUAUGUAACGCCAUAUAUACUCUUAUUGUUUUUUUAUUUGUCAACAAAAUGUAACGCCGUAUUCAAUUAUUUUAUUUUGAAACUGAUACAAACUUUCAUAAAGUUGGCUAAAACUAAGAUUUAACUAAUACGCUAGCUCACGCUUCUUCUUCUUCUUCUUUUCGGUGUAACGCGUGCGUUUGUUUAGUAUAAAAUGCCAAAACCUAAAUCCAUAUACUUAAUUUUAUCGUGGUCUGAAAGUUUCACCAUGGAUUAAAAAACUUCUACUACCGUUUUAACUGUGGUUGAUAAUGGCAGAUAUUGUAAAAGACAAACAUGUAUGAUUUAGUUAUGAACCAAAAAAAAAAAAGGUGGCUAUGAUUUGGUCAAAUGAUCGUGGCUUGUAGAGUAAUUCUCCUCGAUACUGAAAAUUACGAGAACAGUAAACAAAAGAAUGGAUUAUGAAUAGACGUGAACGAGUAAAUAUUCUAAAAGUAGGAGCAAUAAGGUCAACGACAAAGAAAAGUCAAGAACUUGUUUAUUUUCUGAAUUCUGACCGGAUAUCACUCCACGAGGCCAGGCUGCUGCUACCACAAGCGUCUGUUUUCAGUUUUUGGACCAAUAAAUACACUUAGUUUUUCUGUUUUUCAAUUAUAUAUAUAUAUAUUCUUAAAGAUUAAAACAGUGAAUAAGAUACUAUCCUAUUACUCAAUAGCUUAUCAAUUUCUUGAUAUCACUGUUGAAAUAUAUGUAUAAUUGUAUAUAUACAUACUAAGGUCACACUCAAUUGUAAACACUGAACUGUUUGCAUUCAUUAAUAUAGGCCUCAUUGAUUGAACAUUAUGGAAAACUAAUAAAAUGAUGAUAACCAAUAAGGAAUCAUCAAUGAGCUAUACUGCUAUAGUAUGUAUUUAUAAUGCUAGCUAAUAAUUAAAAAUUAUAUAUCCAUCAUAAAAAAAAUAAAAAAAUGCAGGAAAUCCAUGUGAAAAAGUGGUCCGACAAUAUAAUAGUCAAUCAUCACGAUAGUAAGAACGUAAUAACAUAUAGAGUUAGAUGCGUAUUCAUAUCACAUUAUGAAAUGCUGCUGCUCAUUUGUUUUAUAAUUUCUUUUUGUUAUAUAAAGUGGACAUCUUUUGUCAACAAAGAGUAGGAAAGGUAGUUUCGUUUUUAAUAAUGUGGUGUUGUGUAAUGUAACGUAAAGUAAAUAUGUGUCAUUCACUGACAAAAACCUAAUUAAUACAAAAGAGAAGCCAUGGAGAACGACUAUAAACGCGUUUCUUACUCUCUUCCCUUUUCCCACCUUCCCCUACACUCUUCGAUCAUGCCCUUUUUUUUGUCUGAAAACUCUGAAAAGGUUUAGAUCUAUAAUCAUGAUUUUUUGUAAAAUAUGGAUCAUCUAUUUUAUAUAAUAUGUAACGAUGAAGUUGUAUUUGAAUUUGGAUAUAUCCCACACAAAUCAGAAAAAUGGUUGUUAUAAGCUCGUUUGUAUUUUAAAAAUAUGUAAGAACCUAUUGUGUUGUGUGUAUAUGGAUGUUGAUAUUAAUUAAGGUGGCCUAGUUAAAUGGCUUGAACUGAACUAAGAUAAGCACAGAAAAGUUUUGGAAACGUAAUAAGAACUUGAAUUUUAAGAUCUAUCCAAAUAUCCAAUUGAUUUUUCCAAAUCAACCCAACUUGGAAGAGAUUCUACUCUUCAAAGUUUUUUUAUUCCUUUUUUCUUUUUAAAUGAAAGAUAUUAAAAAAUAAAUUUGUGUAUAGGAUAUCUCUAUCAUAGUUGACUGUUUAGACUUUUAGAGUAAGGCCAAGUUCUUCUUUGCCUACAUACCCCACUUCUAUUAUAAAAAGACAGUAACCUUUCUGGAGAUCACUCUUUCUUAUUUUGUGUGUUAGUGCGUUGAGAAAAAGAGAGAGAGAGCGAGAUAGAAAUCGCCAUGGCUCAUGUAAGUUAUCUUCUUUAAUCCUUUCUCCUUGUUUCUUUCUGUCGUCUCUAACAUUCCAAAAGUUCCAUAGCUCUCUCUCUUUUUGGCAAAUCGUUUAGUUUCUUCAUCAAGUUCCAUCUUCAAAAAUAAUGUUUUAUCCUCACAUAACACCUUAUCUAGCUACCUUACUCUCUCUGAUACUAUUAAAAUCCACCACUCAUAUAUACACUAAGUGCCAAACUUGGUCACGUGUUUGGCCCUCCGUGGUUCUUGAAUCUUGAAGAGCUUGAAUCCUUUGUUUUUGUGGGUUCUUGAAUCUUGAAUCUUGAAUCACUGUUUCUUGUGGGUUCUUGAUUCCUUUGAUUCUUGAAUCUUGAGUCCUCUUUGUGGGUUCUUGAUUAGAGAUUUUAUUAGCAUAUUUUUGUACUAAUUAAAGUAAUAAAAUGGGGACAGGGGAGAUAUGAUGAUUACAAGAAGAAAAGUGGACAGAUUCCUCGGUUUGGAGAAUGGGAUGAAGCAAAUGAGAUGCCAAUAACACAAUACUUUGAGAAUCCAAGACAAGCUGGUCUGCUUCGCCACCAAAACUACACCACCACUUCUUCUUCUUCCACUACCACUUCAUCUACAUCUUCUUCUUCUUCUUCUGCAGAAGCCCUAAAGCUUGCUUCACACCGUCCACGUCACCACCAUCCUUCAAGACAGGUUCAUUUACUUAUUUGAUUUUUCUUGAUUAUAUAAAUAAUAAUUAUAUAUUUAAUUAACUCGAUAAGUGUAAUUAUCUAAAGUCGUCUAAGAGAAACGCGUUGUUUGGUGGUAAAUGACUUGGCGUAGACGGCGGGGAUGAGGGAGAAAAGAGGACCACAAAGGCGUGUGCGUGACGUGAGUGCACAGACAGACAAGUAUUACAUUGACGUCAACGGAGUCAAGCACUUUCAAAACGACGACGUCGCUCCCAUCUCAAGGCCACCUAAGCCCGUCGAUGAAGAUCUCUACAAGAUCCCUCCUGAACUUAUCCAUUCUUCAACAAGGGUAAGUCAACCACCAUCUCACUCACACAUGACCUUUUCCUCUUAACUAAUACUAGUUUUGAUAUUAAAAUGGUACAUAUAAUUACAUGGUGUAGCAGAAGAGAAGGCCUAGCUUUUUAGCUUGUUUGGUUCCAUGCGCAUGAAUUUGGGGAAGGAAGAAUCAAGAGAAGGAGAAGAAAGAAAAAUGUAGGAUCAAGAAUGAAUAAUGUAAUUUGUUUUGUUGGUUUGUUUAAUUUCAUUUAAUAUAUACAUAUAUGAUAUAUAUACAUGGAUUUUGGCAGAAAAAAAGAAAAGAAGAAGAGAUAGCACACUAUUGGUUUAUAGAAAAAAGAGGAACAAAGUAACAUCGGAGUAGUCCUUUUGUCUUAUUGCAUAUCUACUUUAUAAGAUUUUCUCUCCUUCUUUUGUCAUGUACGUUCUCAACAUUUUUUUGUGUGUGCAUGUUAUUUGUAAUGAGGACUACUACAUCUUUAUAAAUUGAAUCAAUUACAGACUUGAGUAAAAAAGAAAAUUAAACAUCCCAAAAAUAUGAUUGUAAACUAACAAUAACUAUAUAUAUAUUGUAAACUAUUGUUUGCAAGGAAAAAACUUACAUAAUGGUUGGUGAUCGAACGAAGAAUUACAUAAAGAUGUAGUAGUGCUCAAAAUGAUCUUCAAAACAAAGAAGUAACCAAUCACAUAAAAGAGUAAGAAAAGUCAUUAGUAAGUAAGUAGAUGGCCUAACCAACCCCCACUAUAUAUUUCGUUUUCUCCUUGAAGUCAAUAUCACACUUAUGCUACUUUUGAAUUUUCGAUUAUCCCGUGAACCUCUAAUUUUAAUCAAUUCGUGUGUAAAAAAAUUAAUACUUUUUGAAUAUAGAAUGUAUAUGUACGCAGCCUGUUUUAAUCUACGGAGGAUAAGAAAUGGUGAUGGUGAUUGGUGGUGAAUGUGGUGGUAUUGCUAUAAAGUCAUCACAUUGAUUUGAUUCUCCAUGUUGUUGUUGUUACAUCACCCUAGUCCUUUUUUUUUCUUUCCCAAUUUUAUCCCCACAUUAUCUCCAACCAAUUACUACCGACGCCUUCGUCAAGUUUCUUAAUCACGGAUAGGUUUAUUAACCCCACCAUAAUUACCUUUUUUUUUAACAAGUAAUCAAUUAUGUUGUGAAGUACAGUAAUUACAUGUUGUUAUACAUUUGUUGCUUUCGGUUGACUGGAGUCGACUUAGCCAUACAUGGGAGGAGACUAUGACCGGCCAGCCAUAUAAGCCGCCCAUUCAAAGAUAAUGCCAUUGCCGUCCGUUUGGAUUUCGACAUAUGUUGUAUAUUACUAACCAUUAUGACACUCACUAGUCACUACAAAAAGACAACCUCUGCUUUAUGUAAUCCUCAUUUCACGAUCUUGAAUCAGAAAGUCAACUAAAGAGUAGCAAAACUCAGGAACUUUUCAUUCCCAAAGAGGAGAGACUAUAUACACCUUUGCCUUCUAUCUUUAAUCUCUACACUUUCUAUGACUAUAUUUACCAUCAAUAUUGGAUCGGUAAGAGUCAGUUUGCAAAUCUAUUUACGUAUUAACAACACCUGAUUCCUUCAUGCCCUCUGUGGCUCUUUACCAGUAACGAAUUUCUUAAUCCACUGUAAAAUCCCUUGUGCCUUCCUCACCGCACGAACUGAUCCUUGCUUUGCAAGUUUUGUAAAUGUCCCGUGUUUAUUCUCCUCUUCUCCUACCACUUUCAGCCUGGAUUGGUCUCUGUUUCUGUCACACAUGUUGAAGACGAUCACUACAGCGUUCUCCCCAUUCAGCAAGCUACUCGGUUUCCUCAAUAUACUGAACAGAUCAUAGAUAAACCCUAGCUUAUCCAUUUCCUCAAUCGCCCGGAUGUGUGUGGAAAUCAGCGCCAAGAGAGAUAACAACUCAUCCACAUUGCUUCCUGCUUUGACCUUUUUGGUUGCCGCACGUAUCAGACCCGCUGAAACCACCUUUUCCUUGUUCUCCAAUACAAUACAGAGGUUAAAGACCGUGGAAGUGGCUUCUUUUGUGGCUAACACAUCACCCUCUUCGAUAAGAUCAAUCAGCGCCUUGACGGCUUCCGAGUUCCCAAUGAUCAUCUUGUUAGAAUCAAUGGCUGAGAGUGAUGACAAAGUCGCUGCAGCGUUUCUCCGUGUCUCAGCUGUCCCCUGUUUCAAAGACUUUGUGAGCAGAGGGAUCACUAGACGGUUCUCAGCAAUGACUGUUUUGUUCUUCUCAAGAAUCGAGAGGUUGAACAAUGUUGUGACAAGAUUCUCCUGAAGCUCAGGGUUCAAGUCUACUGCCUCGCCCAAAGUAGAGAGCGGACUGAGCAAUCGGGUGAUCGAACCAGGGAGUUCCUCGACAAAGAAGACACGGACAUUGGUAAAUUUCUUGGUCUGGCGGCGCAGCUCUUUUGAAGCUUCUGUCUGAUCCGCAACGGAGGAGGCAGAGGAAAUCCGGUGAAGCAGUGCCUCUAUGUCACUAGUGAACAGCUCAGUGACUAUUUCUUCAGGUGGAGGUUUUCGCCGAUCAAAUUUGUUAGCACGACACCAUUGCGUAAUCAACUCAUUGACCAAAUGGUUUGAUAUCCAAAAACCGUGAGCGAGGACUUCUUUGCUUUUGGGACAUAUACGUUCAUGCUUCAGCCACUCUGUGAUAUAUCUCUUUUCAUACGUCUGAAAAUUAAAAAAGACAAAAAAAGAAGCAAAAUCAGCACAAACACUAGAAUCUUGCAUCUUGAAUCAUCGAGUCUCCGUCGUUAGUAUAAAACAAAAUGAACAUACUAUCAUAGUUCUUUUAUUGGCAAUGUGAAUCAUAACUCUGUUUCUUUGUUCUGUGACACACUGAAACUUUAUAUGCGUAUACAUAAAAAGAAGGUGCAUUCUUAUAUUUACACACACAACAAUAGCAUUGAUACGAAUACAUGGAAAUCAAAACACAUGCAAACAAAAAGAUGAGCAAGAAUCACAAGAAAUCGUUAGAAACUUGGAAAGAAAUUUACUAAUAGAAAGAAAAAAAAACAGAGAAAAGGAUCAAACCUGGCCAGAAGCGAUGAUCACAGGUUCGAUCAUGAUCGUAUUGGAGAGUGUACAUAUGAACUCUUUCGGCACUUUCACCGGAGAAAUAUCAGAUUCCGGCUUUCUCGAUUCUUCUACUCUCCUCAGACAAUUCAGGAUUCUGAUCGCUUCAUCAAUCGCUUUCACAACUCCGAAACAAGCUUCAGUCUCACCGCGAUCUUUGCCUCCUCCUCCGUCGUGUAGAAUCUCAGCCAGUACUUUCUGUAACUCCCGCCUCAGAGUAUCGGCGUUUGCUUCCGUCGCGUCCGCCGUCGAAUCCGCCAUUUCCGCCGGAGAUUUCUCGACGAACACAAAAGCAGAAGAAAAACCCUAGAAACUUCGAGAAUUUGGGGAAAUUUGCAGUUUACAGAAAGAAGCGAAGAAACAAAAAUGAAUCAGUUGGGGUAUUUUUUUUUAUAUAUAGUUUCUGAUGAGUUUAUUCAUUCAUCUUCUUCUACUUCUUCUUAUUUUUUUUCUUUCUUUAUUUAAUUAAACUUCGAUUUGGGUUUUAAAUAAUUACGUACGCCACCUGUGUAUUUAGACUGCCACGUCAUAUCCGCAUUCUCUGCAUUCUUUUUUGGGAAUUAGCUUUUUAGCUGACAGACGACUUUGAUUGGUCAGCUUCAUUUUACAGAUUCGGUGGUUUUUCUUAAAUAAAAUUCUUAAAGCAUGCUUUGUAUUUUUUUUUCGUGCAAUGUUUUAACUGUCACUUUAAUUACUCCACUUGUAUUUUAGACCAUUAAUUUUGGUAAUGUACUCCACUAAUUAGCUAAGAUCGUUUUUCCUUUACGUAUUUGCAAUUUUAUUAGGAAGUCCCAUAAGAGAGGCACUCUUUCCUUUUUGCAUUUUCAUUUUUUGUAUAUAUAUAUUUAAUUUAUAUGCUUUGUUACACGAUACGGUUUACUAUUCUGAUGUGUAAACGAAAAAUAAAGAAAAGCUUAAUUUGAGAUUGGCGUUUUUACUAAAAUAGAGACAUGUUCUGUUCACACUUCACACUAUAUAUAUUUAACUUACAAUACAUAACGUAUGGUAUGAUACAUUGUUGUCUGGCACAUAUAUAUAUAUACAUUAUAUACAUUCUAAACAACUAUCUUUCCUGCUCUAUUUAUUAAAAAACGAUAUAUUAUAUUAUCACUAUUGAUAUAUAUGUUUUUUGGUUAAAAAUCACUAUUGACAUAUAGAAAUAGAAUUCGCUAGUUGUUGUAGUUUGAGUAUACGAAAAAUGCAUGGUGGAGUAUACAUUUUCUUGUGGUUAUAUAGUUUUGAGUAUACGAAAAUUGAGCAACAUGCAUGCAUGGUGGAGUAUGGUACUCUUCUUUUUCUUGCGAGUAUUGAAAGAAAAAUGCCUACAGUUUUGUAUAGCUUGCUGAUGAGAUUGAGUGGUUUGUAUAGUUUUCAAGAAGUUUGGUUCGUUUACCCGGCCCAACCAAAAAAUAUAUAUCAAUCAGCUUUGUUGAACACGAUUUAGAAGAUAAAAAAUACAAGAGAAAACAUCCACAUGACUUGCUGGUUUUGCGCAGUCUCCAUUGUGUGUCUUUAUAUAUACAUAUAGCCAUGUGUCAUGAUUAUCCUACUUUUGGUCCCAAAUUUUCAACUAAACUUCUCUGCAUCACUCUUUGUGCUAUUUACACUUUUAACGGUCGGCAUAAAACGAAACGUAUAUAACCUUUUUUAAAAAACUAAUCGAUAAAAAUAUCUUGUAGCUAUCCUUUAUACUUGAAGCCAAGAAAAAUAUUCUCUUAUAUUAAAAAAAAAAAUCUAGAGAGAAAAAGGGAGACAAAUUGUUAAAAUGAUGCAUCAGAGAAUAUGAGAUGGCUAUAAGGAUCCAAUGACUAGAUGAAGUUUUGAUUUUGAAUAUCUCUCUCAGUGAUCAUAACGCACUAUUCGGAGAGAUUCGGACAGAGUGAAAAUCCUGAUCCACCGUGAAAUAUAUUUAGCUUUUCUGACCACACCAUCUGAUCCUUGCCUUGAAAGCUUCCCAAAUGUCCCGUGUGGAGUCUCCUCGUUGCUGAGCAUUGAGUGUCUAUGCAUGCCUUUGAUUUUACCAAACAUGUUGAUGACGGUAUCUAAAGCGUUCUCACAAGUCACCAUGCAACUUGUGUUCCUCAAGAUCUCCAUCACGUCAGAGACAAUCUCUAACUCCUCUAUUAUACCCUGAGCCCUGCUGUUUGAAGAUAUCGGUGCCAAGACAGAUACCAUCUCCUCCACGUUUCUUCCUACUCUGAUAUUUUUGACUAUUGCGGGAAUCAAACCCUCUGAAAUCGCCUUUCUCGUGUUCUGCUGCGAGUCAAGACAGAGCUUGUAAACAGCGUAAGCAGCUUCACCUAUGUCGUCAGCCGGCUCCCCGAUACGAUCUAUCAAAGCCUUGAGUGCUUCCGAGUUCCCGAUGAUGAUCCUGUUGGAAUCAAUGCCUGAAAGUGUCGACAAAGUCUUUGCAGAGACGUUUUUUGUUUCCUCUGUCCCCUUCUGCAGAGACUUUGUAAGCAGUGGCAUCACCUGAGGAUGCUCAGCAAUCACUGUUUGGUAAUUCUCAACAGUCGAGAUGUUCAACAAUGAUGUCAUGAUAUUCUCUUGUAGAUCAGGAUUGGCGUCUACGUCAUCGCCUAAUACAGAGAGCAACCUGGUGAUCGAAUCAGGGAGUUCCGUGACAAAGAAGACACGUGCGUUGACAUAUUUCUUGGUCUGGCGGCUAAGCUCUUUUGCAGCUUCUAUCUGAUCUGAAACCGAGGAGGGAGAGGAAAUACGCAGAAGCAAUGAUUCGAUUUCACCAGUGGAUAGCUCAGUCACUAUGAUAUCAUCAUCAGAUGGUUUUGGCCGAUCAACUUUGUUAACAAGACACCACUGCGUAAUCAAGUCAUUGAUCAAAUGGUUGGGUGUCAAAAACAAGUGAGUGAGGACUGCUUCGGUUUUGGGACAUAUAUUGUUAUGCUUCAGCCACUCUGUGAUGUCUCUCUUUUCAUAAGUCUGAAAGAAAAAGAAAAAGAAAAAAAAGUAAAGGGCAAAAAUCAGCACAAACAACAGAAUCUGUAUCUUGACUGUCAAGAAACACAACUCGAUCGUUCUAUUGUUUGCAUAAGACAAAAUGAACAUAUUUGUAUACGUACACAUUCAUAAUAUCAUGGAUGCUUUCUUGGCAAGCUGAACCAUAACGCUCUGUUUCUUGUUUUAUGAUACCAAAACUAGAAGGUGCAGUUAUACAAGAGCGCUUUCAUCUAUGUAUCAAAAUAAAGAUGCAUGCAAAUAAAAAGAUGAAUGAAAAUCAAGAAACCUGGCCGGAAGCGAUGAUCACAGGUUCGAUCAUGAUCGUAUUGGAGAGUGUACAUAUAAACUCUGUCGGCACUUCCACCGGUGGCUUAUUCGACUCAACUUCCCUUAGACAAGUAAGAAUUCUAAUAACAGCCUCAUCAAUUGUUUUCAAGACUCCUUCAUCAGUCUCGACUCGAUGAUCUUUGCCUCCUACUCCGUCGUGGAAAAUCUCCGUCAGUACCUUGUGCAACUCCAGAGUCUCGUCAGCGUUCGCUUCAGUCACGUCCGCCAUUUCAACCGAAGAUUUUCUCAACGAACGUACGCUCUCGAUCGAUCCACACAGAACCCCCAAAGCAAGAGAAGCAAAAAGCCUAGAGAAACUCGAGAAUAGUUGAAAAAUUAAUAUCUUUGGAAUUUAGAGAGAAGCUAAAAGAAUCUGUUAUAUAACAGUUAUAGAGAUGAAUUUGUUAUUCUUGCUCCUCUGCAUGUUUUUCUUUAAUGUUUAUUUCAUAUCUUGUAAAUGUAAUUUAAUAUAACUUUUCUGUUUACUAAUUUGAUGUGUCAACAAUAUAUAAAGACGAGAUUUAAUACACCAAUAUAUUAUAUUAGGGUAUGCUCGUUUGCCCCAACCAACAAAUAAAACCUUUUGUCGAAUAUGAUUUUAUACGAUGAAAAUAAGGAAAAAAGGUCAAAUUAAUUCAGACUCCAUUGUGUACAAAACUAGGGACCUAUAGGAUCCAAUGACAAGAACUUUUGAUUUUGAAAACUCAGGCCUCUGUGCCCUCAGUGGCUCUCUCUUUACUAUCAGCGAACCUCUUAAUCCACCUUAAGAUCCAUUCGGCCCUUCCGACCGCAUUAUGUGAUCCUUUAUGUGAAAGCUCCAUAAAUGUCCCGUGUUUAAUCUCCUCUUCUUCGAGCAUUUCCAGUCUAGACCCGUCUUUGUUUUUCAUAAACAUGUUGAAGAUGAUUUCUACAGCAUUCUCACAAGUCAUCGAGCUACUCGGUUUCCUCAACAUCCCCAACAGAUCAUUAAAAAACCCUAGAUCCUCCAUUUCCUUGGCAGCCCUGCUGUCCGUACAAAUCGAUGUCAAGAUAUUUAGCAUCUCAUCCACAUAUCUUCCUGCUUUGAUAUUUUUGAUUACUACUGGAAUCAAACCCGCUGAAAUCGCCUUUUCAUAGCUCUCCGAUCCAUUACAGAAGUCGAGAACAGCGUGAGCAGCUGCUUCAACCGUGGUAUCUGGUGACGACCGUUCGAGUAGAUCUAUCAGAGCCUUGAGUGCUUCUGAGUUCCCGAUGAUGAUCCUGUUAGAAGCAAUGUCUGAGAGUAACGUUAGAGUCGCCGCAGAGGCUUCUUGUGUUACAACUGUACCCUUUUGCAGAGACUUUGCAAGCAGUGGCAUCACAUGAGGGUUCUUAGCAAUUACUGUUGUAUCCGGUUGAGCAGUCGAGAUGUUCAACAAUGAUGUGAUGAUACUCUCUUGAAGCUCAGGAUUGGCGUCUACGUCAUCUCCCAAAACAGAGAGCGGAGUGAGCAACCUGGUGAUCGAAUUAGGGAGCUGCGCGACAAAGAAGAUACAAGCGGUGACAUAUUUCUUGGUCUGGCGGCUAAGCUCUUUCGCUGCUUCUAGCUGAUUUGAAACCGAGGAGGGAGAGGAGAUACGCUGAAGCAACGAUUCCAUGUCAUCGCUGAACAGUUUCAUGAAUAGUUCAUCAGAUGAACGUUUUGGUCGAUCAACUUUGUUAACUCGACACCAUUGCGUUAUCAACUCAUUCAUCAAAUGGUUUGGUGUUAAAAACAUGUGUGAGAGGACUUCUUUGGUUUUGGGACACGUACGGUUAUGCUUCAGCCACUCUGUGAUGUAUCUAUGUUCAUACGUCUGAGAAAGAAAAAAAAAACAGAGUAAAGAGAGCAAAAUCAGCACAAACAACAGAGUAUGUAUCUUUGAACCCUAAUUCUUGACUGUCAAGAAACACUCGAUCGAUGUUUGCAUCGAUCUGUUCUUGGCAAUGUGGAAUCAUAACUCUGAUAAACUAAAACAGUAAGAAGAAGAAAAUGACAAAGAUCAAACCUGGCCAGAAGAUAUGAUCAUAGGUUGGAUCAUGAUGUUCUUCGAGAGUGUACAUAUAAACUCUUCCGGCACUUUCAACGGUGGCUUCUCCGAUUCCACUUUCCUCAGACAAUCCAAGAUUCUAACAACAGACUCAUCGAUUGCUUUCAAGACUCUGUUACUUCCUUCAUUCUCGCCGCCAUUUUUGCCUAGUCCGUCGUGGAAAACAUCCGUCAGUACCUUGUGCAACUCCAGCCGCAGAGUAUCGGCUUUUGCUUCUGUCGAGUCCGCCGGCGAAUCCGCCAUUUUCAGCCUGAGAUUAUCUCGAUAAACUCACGAGAGAAUACACAGGACCCAAAGCGAAAUAGAAACUUGGAGAAUUGUGUACUUAGAGUGAAGCGAAGAAGAAACUGUUAGUUAUAUUAUCAGUUUGAUGAGUUUGUUAUUCGAUUUAACUUCUGUUUUUUUAAAAAAAAAUUAAUAACAUAGUCCUCGUCGUUGUUGUCAAUAUACUCAUCUUUAAGCGAAAUAAAUUUGCCAAUCAUAAUGCAAGCCUCUUGAAUCUCAAACAUAUAGAGUCUAAAAAAAUCAACAUGUAAUAUCUUACAGGAUCCAACAUUUCUACAAGAUAGGUAAGGCUUUUCCUCAAUCUUCAUCGAACCAUAUGAAAUUAUUCUCAAUAUCGCUGGAGAUUGUUCCUGAUGAAUUUAGAAAAGGCAGCUUGCAGUGACGUGUGAUACAAUCUGGAAUAGUGUCAAUAUAGUUAUUCCUGAAAUAGAAUGGUCGAGGAAGAUCAGGGUUAUGAAUGUUUCUCAUCUCCAUCACCAGAUUAUGACAGAACCGAGAGCUCUGGAAGAUCUCUACAGGAAAGCUCUCAACAUUUUUGCAUCCCAGGAAAUCUAGUGUUUCGAUAUGUUCCAGCCUAGAUAUCCCAGAAGAGAUGCUUCUUAGCUUCAUGCAGCUAUUCAUCAAUAGUUUAUUGAGCCGAAAUAGUUUCUCGAUCCACAAAGGGACUUCUUCAAUCCCUGUUCUGCUAAAAUCCAACCAUUCUAUAGUGUCUGGAAGACAUGGAAAUGUCUUAAGGCUCUUGCAGCCUGACAUGUCCAGUGCUGCCAGACAUGGCCAGGACGCGACUGUUGUGGGAACUUCUUCUAUUGCAGUUUCUGAUAGAGAGAGAUAUCCAAUCUUCGAAGAAAUUUCUGGAAAACUCUCUAAUCGUGAGCAUCUAUCGAGAUUGAGGAUGCUAAGAGAUUCCAAGUUCAUAUUGCUGGGGAAAAUCUCUAGCUUUGAGCAAUACUUCAUGUCAAGAACAACCAAUUUGUUAAGGUGCUUGAACGAGGAAGGUAACAUCACCAAAUUUUCACAAUGGCUGAGACAGAGUUCCUCGAUAUUUACGGCUUUUGAAAGAUCAGGAAUCUCUUUUAGAUUCGCAGACAUACUUAAAUCCAUCUGCUUUAGACUUCUAAGAGGCUAAAAAAAUCCCACAUGAAACAAAUAAAAAUUGACAAACAAUUAGAUAAUGUUAAUGCGAAUUGAGAAAGGAGAGCUAUCAAAUUAACUUACUUGUGUUCCUUCCCACAGCUUCUCAAGUUGGCUCUUUCUUAGAUUGAUCACAACAAGAAACUCUGGACGAAAACUCAGAGGCAUUGAUGUCAUGGGGAAUGCAUCCCAGUGCAGCAGCCUGAGUUUACGGGGUAAAUAAUCCAAUCCCCGAGGUAAAUGCAGCUCGGUUUGAUCUUUCCUCGGAAAGGAAUUGUAAAAUCUUAAAAACAACAGAUUAUGCAUCCCACAAAAAGCUCUUUCACUAAGAAACCACUCAUUGAUCUUUGAUAUGUCCAAAGAUAUGCCCAAAACAGCUCCAGUACCCUGAAACACAGAGAUAUCAACUGAAAGUAAUGUUUAUGUGAAACUAAAAAUGAAAGUAACGUGGCAAAAAAUUGACUUACAGUGUGAUCAACAAGUACAUCAUAUAUCUCUGAAGCAUCAACCAAGAAUUGACGUUUUCCAGGCUCGUCAAGGGAUUGUUCACAAACAACUUCUCUACCCAAUUGUUCUAGCAAAUUGUGCAUCGUAAUGGUAUGACUGCAUCUCGAUAUGUGUAUGAGAGAUUUAUUGGUAAGGACUUCAAGCCCAAAGUUGACAUCCAAGCCAGAACUUGCAAGUACUUGCUUCACAUAAUCAACGUUCUCACCAUUAAAUAAACACGCAAUAUGAAGGAAUAUGGCCUUAUCCUUCUCGUGUAAACCAUCAUAUCCGACUCUUAAAACAUUUCUAAUGUCCUCAUUUAGACUGGUUCUGAGUCGAGGCAAUGCUGAUUUUUGUUCAUCUUUGCUCAUCCCUCGCAGAGAGGACCCCAAAACCUUCAGAGCUAGGGGAAGAUAGCCAGCAAGCUUUGUAAUUUCAGUAGCAAUCUCAGUACAACCAUCUGGUGCAGAGCUGUCUCCAAAUGCAGAUUGGCAGAAAAUCUGAAGAGACUCACGUCUAGAUGGAAAACCCAACUCGUAUAUGAAAUUGAUUUCAUGCGCUCUCAAAAGCUGUUUGUUUUCCGUGGUCACGAUGAUCCUACUUCCAGAACCAAACCACUGAGUCUGUUUCACUAAGGCAUCAAGUUGUUCUAGGUUAUCAACAUCAUCAAGAACAACAAGAACUUUCAGAUCCUGCAAUCUUUCCUUUACCAAACCUAAAUCAUGUAUCUUCAUACGCUUAUGAUCAAUAACUUCAGACAGAAACUCUUCUUGCAAACGCAGUUUGAAGCCAUAGCUAUCAAGUUCCGAGCUCUUAGUACUUCCCUUAACAUUCUCCAUAAAAAUAGUGUGUUGGAAGUUUUCAGAGAGUCGGUUGAAUAAAGCUCUGGCAACUGUUGUCUUGCCAAUUCCUGCAGGACCCCAAAUCCCCACCAUCUUCACUUCAGUUGAUUCUAGACAUAACAGUGAAUCCAUCUCUCUCAUAUGAGCGUCAAUUCCAACCAGAUUAUCAGCAUCUCGUGAUGGUGUAAAAUUCAAUUCAUUUGAAAUGCUCAUAGCAAUUUUUUCAAUCAUGUCUGCUUCAUUGUCCCUAUCAAGAAGAAAAGAUUGCUUUCACCAAACCAUAAAAAUAACGAGAACAAGAAAUUCAAUGCAUUCAUAUGAAACAAAGUUUGGAUAUUAUGACUAAAGGAAUCAGAAUAACUAACCAAUUUUGAGAAGACUCGCCGGCUAUAUUAGCCAUAUAGACCAAAGCUUCUCUCCAUCUCUGCUUCACUUCCUCAUCUGGCUGUCCUUCACAUGCUUUCUCAAACGCCUUUCCAAAUUCUCCUCGUAGUUUCCUCACAUCAGAUGGAUCCACUUCGUAGAAAACCGGCAUGAUGUUCUGGCUAACAUUCUUUAUCUCCACCAACUCAUUCAAACACCAGCUUGAAGAUGCAUAGGUUCGCGACAGCACUACAACCACAAUCCUAGAUUCCCUUAUAGCAUGAACGAGCUCAGAACUGAUAAUUUGGCUUCUCUUGAUAUCAUUAUCUAUGAACGUACGGAUUCCUUUUCGCUGGAACUCCUUGAGCAGGUGGCUGAGAAAUGUUCGACGGACGUCUUUGCCGCUGAAGCUUGGGAACACAUGGUAUCUCCAAUGGCAAGACUGCAAUGACAAUGAUGAAGAAACUGCCAUGAGAGAAGCUGAAAAGUAUAGCUUAUAAUCCUUCUUUGUUUGUUUAUUUGGAAAGGAAAAGUUACCACAGAUCUUGAGGGAUUGAUAGAUAUAUCUCUGGACCCUUAUGAUUGGCUUGUGACUUGUCCUCUUCUGCUUUGCGUCAAGACUUGAGAUACUCUUUGCGCGUUCAUAAGGUUGACUUUUUGCCUCGUAUUGCGUUUGUACACACACAAGAGUUUUAAUUCCAGUUUCGAAGUAGUUGAAUCAUGGAUCAUUUUUCCCAAAAGUUCAAAAAUUACGACCAAGGUCAGAAACGCUCAUACCUCUCUUAUGAGUUAACACUUUUGACCAAAAUCUUCCGGUUGUCAAUUGUCACAUUUGAAAAAGGUUUUGUGUUUAGGACCAGCAAGUUAAAAAUAUUCUUUGAUUACUGAUUGAGGUCUUGAAAGCAAGAAUGGGACUACAAUUCUAAUCUCGUAAAAUAACCUACUUCCACUAAGCAGACAAACCAAAUUUGCCUUGCAAAGAUUGAUUUUCUUUUUUGAAAUCCAAUGAAAGCAAGUCAAAGGAAGAAAGCCUUGAGAUAUGUAAAUGGAAAAAUCAAAUCCUCUGCAUUAUUUCUGUUCUGAAAAAUGAAAACAACAUCAACCUAAGCAAUAAGCAUAGUCGAGAACACAACUUCUAUAUUGAGUCAACUCAACAAGAGCAAAGACUACUAACUACAAUUAACAUUUAGCCCAUUUGCUUAAUGGAGAUUUCAUCACUGUAAGCCAAUUACAUCAAGCAACAGUCUUCUCAUAAACUGAACUAGAACUAAUAUUUAGACACAAAUGGAGAUUGAAAGGAAUGAUGAUUAACCUAACCUUUGAUCGAGAACUAUACAGAUGUCAUACAUAUCAAGACAAGAAAUAAAAUAGUAAAAAGGCAGACCAGACAAUGAAAUAAAAUAAGAACUUUAAGAUAAGAAACGAUAGCAUAACAUAAGUUUCUUGGAGAAUCACCAUUAUCCAAAAAAAGCAUAAGAAAACUGAAAUUAUAAAAUCUAACGAGUCUCAGAUCACAAGUCCAUACUCAAAUACUCCAAAAAAAACCUUAAGAUGAUUCGA